Molecule: ribosomal RNA, 424 nt
Filed under: uncultured prokaryote
Description: bacterial SSU rRNA
Rfam family: Bacterial small subunit ribosomal RNA
Source: RNAcentral
UGGGGAAUCUUAGACAAUGGGGGAAACCCUGAUCUAGCCAUGCCGCGUGAGCGAUGACGGCCCUAGGGUUGUAAAGCUCUUUCGCCGGGGACGAUAAUGACGGUACCCGGAGAAGAAGUCCCGGCUAACUUCGUGCCAGCAGCCGCGGUAAUACGAAGGGGACUAGCGUUGUUCGGAAUUACUGGGCGUAAAGCGCGUGUAGGCGGAUCGGUCAGUCAGAGGUGAAAUCCCAGGGCUCAACCCUGGAACUGCCUUUGAUACUGCCGGUCUUGAGUCCGGAAGAGGUGAGUGGAAUUCCGAGUGUAGAGGUGAAAUUCGUAGAUAUUCGGAGGAACACCAGUGGCGAAGGCGGCUCACUGGUCCGGUACUGACGCUGAGACGCGAAAGUGUGGGGAGCAAACAGGAUUAGAUACCCCCGUAGUCC